Molecule: ribosomal RNA, 119 nt
Organism: Lupinus angustifolius (narrow-leaved blue lupine)
Lineage: Eukaryota; Viridiplantae; Streptophyta; Magnoliopsida; Fabales; Fabaceae
Source: Rfam
AGGUGCGAUCAUACCAGCACUAAUGCACCGGAUCCCAUUAGAACUCCGUAGUUAAGCACGCUUGGGCGAGAGUUGUACUAGGAUUGGUGACCUUCUAGGAAGUCCUCGUGUUGCACCUC